UUGGUUACUGACUUAAUCGGUCAAGUUUUCGCUUUUCCGUACAUUAUAUAAUUUCACAAUUGAUUGUUUCGACUACAAGUAAUUAUAAAAUGGCUUUGAGUAUCAUCUCAAGUUCUGAAUAUGCAAAGGUGUUGCAGCACAUGACGACCAUUAUCCACUUUUGUGAGCAUGGCCCCAUCGACGAAAAUGGGAGGAGAAUGAGAAUUGUUAGCUGGAUAUUGACCUUUAUGCGGGGAAUCAAUGUCACUGUGGCAGAAUCUCGAUCCUGCAUAAGGGUCAUCCGCAAUUUUGAGGCCUCCCCAAUGACCCCAGCUACCUCAUCGACUUCACACAUCAUGUAUCCCUGGGAAGCUACCAAGUUUAUUUUAAAGUUCUGGACGAUCCAUUAGUACUCAGCUAAUAAAACUUGGGCUAAUCAUCCAAAAGUGAAAAGUAUAAGGGCGAUAUUGCACGAAUUUUAAGACAGGACAGAACUUUCAAGGGCCGACUUUUGUAUGGAAAGUGGAGAAAAUCUCUGGAAUUGAGAUUGGAUUUUCCGGAUCUGAACCAUAUCAUCGCCGCUAUGUUGCACUUGUACCCGCACUUUGAAAAUGAAGACAUUAGCCUUCCUGCAAUGCGAGCCCGUUGGGACACAGGUGACCUCACCAUCCACAACAUAAUCCACCCUGAAAAUGAAAAUGACAUGGACCACAGUGGCAAGGAAAAUUAAUUUUUUUUGUUUAAUUCCUUUCAAGCCCUAUCAACCCUUUCAAAGCAAGUACUUAAUAAUAAGCGUUUCGACUUUGUGUUUAGUGUACAAAAUGAAUAUCUUUCCGGUGCGUUUUUUUUAUAUUUAUAAAUAUUACAUUAUAUAAUACCAUAUGUAGAAGUUCCUAAUGUGAACUUCACAUUAGGAACUUACUUUAAGUAUGAA
This is an RNA transcript of Folsomia candida, 913 nucleotides long. RefSeq lists it as uncharacterized. NCBI's taxonomy places the organism in Eukaryota, Metazoa, Arthropoda, Collembola, Entomobryomorpha, Isotomidae. The record is from RefSeq and is a predicted model, not a curated record. The transcript is spliced from 6 exons.